UGGGGAAUAUUGCACAAUGGGCGAAAGCCUGAUGCAGCAACGCCGCGUGCGGGAUGACGGCCUUCGGGUUGUAAACCGCUUUCAGCAGGGACGAAGGUUUUCUGACGGUACCUGCAGAAGAAGCACCGGCUAACUACGUGCCAGCAGCCGCGGUGAUACGUAGGGUGCGAGCGUUGUCCGGAAUUAUUGGGCGUAAAGAGCUUGUAGGCGGUCCGUUGCGUCGGAAGUGAAAACUCAGGGCUUAACCCUGAGCCUGCUUUCGAUACGGGCGGACUUGAGGGAUGUAGGGGAGAACGGAAUUCCUGGUGGAGCGGUGGAAUGCGCAGAUAUCAGGAGGAACACCAGUGGCGAAGGCGGUUCUCUGGACAUUUCCUGACGCUGAGAAGCGAAAGCGUGGGGAGCAAACAGGCUUAGAUACCCUGGUAGUCCACGCCGUAAACGGUGGCACUAGGUGUGGGACCCAUUCCACGGGUUCCGUGCCGUAGCUAACGCAUUAAGUGCCCCGCCUGGGGAGUACGGCCGCAAGGCUAAAACUCAAAGGAAUUGACGGGGUCAUAGCUG
This 561-nucleotide ribosomal RNA is filed under the name uncultured bacterium. RNAcentral's name for it is "partial 16S ribosomal RNA". It matches the Rfam family "Bacterial small subunit ribosomal RNA", at positions 355 to 932 of the family's 1533-position model. The record is from RNAcentral.